CCUACGGGAGGCAGCAGUGAGGAAUAUUGGUCAAUGGACGAGAGUCUGAACCAGCCAAGUAGCGUGAAUGAUGACUGACCUAUGGGUUGUAAACUUCUUUUAUAAAGGAAUAAAACGAGGCACGUGUGCCUUUUUGCAUGUACUUUAUGAAUAAGGAUCGGCUAACUACGAGCCAGCAGGCGCGGUAAUACGGAGGUUCCGAGCGUUAUCCGGAUGUAGUGGGUUUAAAGGGAGCGUAGAUGGGUUGUUAAGUCAGUUGUGAAAGUUUGCGGCUCAACCGUAAAAGUGCAAUUGAUACUGGCAGUCUGGAGUACAGGUGAGGUAGGUGGAAUUCGUGGUGUAGCGGUGAAAUGCGUAGAUAUCAGGAAGAACCCCAAUGGCGAAGGCAGCUUACUAAACUGUAACUGACAUUGAGGCUCGAAAGUGUGGGGAGCAAACAGGAUUAGAUACCCCGGUAGUC
This 460-nucleotide ribosomal RNA is filed under the name uncultured bacterium. RNAcentral's name for it is "partial 16S ribosomal RNA". It matches the Rfam family "Bacterial small subunit ribosomal RNA", at positions 338 to 795 of the family's 1533-position model. The record is from RNAcentral.